This 2214-nucleotide ribosomal RNA is filed under the name Triticum aestivum (bread wheat). Its description in RNAcentral is "partial small subunit ribosomal RNA". The record is from RNAcentral. Lineage: Eukaryota; Viridiplantae; Streptophyta; Magnoliopsida; Poales; Poaceae.
AUGGCAGGCGCGGCGCCCUCCGCCUCCGCGCGCCAGAUAUCCCACACGCACUUCAUCGAGCAGCUCCGCCGCGCCGCCCGCGCCCGCGACGGCGAGGCGCUCCACGCCUGGGCGCUCAAGUCCGGCGCCGCGUCCCACGCGCCCGUCUCCAACUCCCUCAUCACCUUCUACGCCUCCCUCCCGCGGCCGCUCCUCGCCGCGGCCCUGGCCGUCUUCGCGGGCAUCCCCGCCGCCGCCCGCGACAUCGCCUCCUGGAACUCCCUGCUCAACCCGCUCUCGCACCACCACCCGCGCGCCGCGCUCUCCCACUUCCAAUCCAUGCUCUUCUCCUCCUCGCCCGCCAUCCUCCCGUCCCCGCAUUCCUUCGCCGCCGUCUUCACGGCCGCCGCCCGCGCGCGCUCCGCGUCCGCCGGGGCAGCCGCCCACGCCCUCGCUUGCAAGGUCCCCUCGGCUGGCUCCAACGUGUUCGUGUCCACCUCUCUGCUCAACAUGUACUGUAAGCUGGGCCUCGUCCCCGAUGCCCGGAGAGUGUUCGACGAAAUGCCGGUGCGGAACGAGUUCUCUUGGGCCGCUAUGGUGGCAGGCUAUGCUUCCACAAAGUGCUCCGAGGAGGCCUUUGAGAUCUUCCAGCUGAUGCUUGCGGAGUGCCCGUCACAGAAAAACGAGUUUGUGGCCACGGCUGUUCUUAGUGCGGUCAGUGUGCCGUCGGGCUUGCCGAUGGGGGUGCAGCUACAUGGGUUGGCUGUGAAGGAUGGGUUGGUGGUGUUUGUGUCGGUUGAGAACUCGCUCGUCACAAUGUAUGCAAAGGCUGGGUGUAUGGAUGCAGCAUUACAUGUGUUUGCGUCGUCUAAGGAGAGGAACUCCAUCACUUGGUCCGCGAUGAUCACUGGCUACGCGCAGAAUGGGAAUGCAGAAAGCGCAUUUAGAAUGUUCUUGCAGAUGCUUUCUGCGGGGUUUUCACCAACUGAGUUCACUUUGGUUGGGGUGCUCAAUGCGUGUAGUGAUGUGGGAGCAUUGAUGGAAGGAAAGCAGACACAUGGUUUGAUGGUGAAGCUUGGGUUUGAGGCGCAGGUGUAUGUGAAGAGCGCACUGGUGGACAUGUAUGCCAAAUGCGGCUGUAUUACUGAUGCAAAGGAAGGUUUUGAUCAAUUUCAUGAGCUUGACAUUGUCCUUUGGACGGCCAUGGUUGCCGGGCAUGUGCAGAACGGGGAGCAUGAGGAAGCCUUGAGAUUGUAUGCCAGGAUGGACAAGGAGGGCAUCAUUCCGACUAACUUGACUAUAACCAGUGUUCUUAGAGCAUGUGCUGGCCUUGCAGCAUUGGAGCCAGGGAAGCAAUUGCACACGCAAAUCCUCAAGUUCGGAUUUGGUUUGGGGUCUUCUGUCGGAAGUGCCUUGUCUACAAUGUAUUCAAAGUGUGGAAACCUUGACGAUGGCAUGGUUGUAUUCAGAAGGAUGCCUCAUAAGGAUGUUAUUGCAUGGAACUCGAUCAUUUCUGGAUUCUCUCAAAAUGGACGUGGAAAUGAAGCACUUGACCUGUUUGAGGAAAUGAAGCUAGAGGGCACUGCUCCAGAUCAUAUAACAUUCAUUAAUGUGUUAUGUGCUUGUAGUCACAUGGGCCUAGUUGACAGAGGAUGGAUUUACUUUAGGUCAAUGACCAAAGACUAUGGUUUAACUCCUCGGCUGGAUCAUUAUGCUUGCAUGGUUGAUAUUCUUAGCCGAGCAGGGAUGCUAAAUGAAGCAAAAGAUUUCAUAGAGUCCAUUAGUAUUGACCAUGGAACAUGUUUGUGGCGUAUAUUAUUGGGAGCAUGUCGCAGUAUACGGGAUUUUGAUGUCGGAGCAUAUGCUGGUGAGCAGCUGAUGGAGUUAGGUACUGGGGACUCCUCUGCAUAUAUAUUGUUGUCAAACAUCUAUGCUGCCCAGAGAAAAUGGACUGAUGUUGAGCGGGUGAGGCAUUUGAUGAGACAUCGGGGAGUUAGCAAAGAUCCAGGAUGCAGCUGGGUUGAGCUUAACAGCAGAAUUCAUGUGUUUGUUGUUGGGGAGCAGCAACAUCCUGAGGCGGAAAAUAUAAAUACAGAGUUGAGAAGGCUCGCUAAACACAUGAAGGACGAAGGGUACCGUCCAACAUCUAAAUUUUCAUGGGAUGAAGAACUGGAUACAUUGAGAGGAUCUCAUGAAGAAGAUCAAUUCGAGUUGAUAUCGGCAGUUUCUAGCUGA